This 500-nucleotide ribosomal RNA is filed under the name uncultured bacterium. RNAcentral's name for it is "partial 16S ribosomal RNA". It matches the Rfam family "Bacterial small subunit ribosomal RNA", at positions 29 to 523 of the family's 1533-position model. The record is from RNAcentral.
AUUGAACGCUGGCGGCAUGCCUUACACAUGCAAGUCGAACGGCAGCACGGGUGCUUGCACCUGGUGGCGAGUGGCGAACGGGUGAGUAAUACAUCGGAACGUACCUUAUCGUGGGGGAUAACGCAGCGAAAGCUGUGCUAAUACCGCAUAAGCCCUGAGGGGGAAAGCGGGGGAUCGAAAGACCUCGCGCGAUUAGAGCGGCCGAUGCCUGAUUAGCUUGUUGGUGGGGUAAAAGCCCACCAAGGCGACGAUCAGUAGCUGGUCUGAGAGGACGAGAAGCCACACUGGGACUGAGACACGGCCCAGACUCCUACGGGAGGCAGCAGUGGGGAAUUUUGGACAAUGGGGGCAACCCUGAUCCAGCAAUGCCGCGUGAGUGAAGAAGGCCUUCGGGUUGUAAAGCUCUUUUGUCAGGGAAGAAACACCGGCUCUAACACAGUCCGGGAAUGACGGUACUGAAGAAUAAGCACCGGCUAACUACGUGCCAGCAGCCGCCGUAA